UACGUAGGGUGCAAGCGUUAUCCGGAAUUAUUGGGCGUAAAGAGCUCGUAGGCGGUUUGUCGCGUCUGCUGUGAAAACCGGAGGCUCAACCUCCGGCCUGCAGUGGGUACGGGCAAACUAGAGUGCGGUAGGGGAGAUUGGAAUUCCUGGUGUAGCGGUGGAAUGCGCAGAUAUCAGGAGGAACACCGGUGGCGAAGGCGGGUCUCUGGGCCGUAACUGACGCUGAGGAGCGAAAGCAUGGGGAGCGAACAGG
Molecule: ribosomal RNA, 253 nt
Filed under: uncultured bacterium
Lineage: Bacteria
Description: partial 16S ribosomal RNA
Rfam family: Bacterial small subunit ribosomal RNA
Source: RNAcentral